AUUGAACGCUGGCGGCAUGCCUUACACAUGCAAGUCGAACGGCAGCACGGGUGCUUGCACCUGGUGGCGAGUGGCGAACGGGUGAGUAAUACAUCGGAACAUGUCCUGUAGUGGGGGAUAGCCCGGCGAAAGCCGGAUUAAUACCGCAUACGAUCCACGGAUGAAAGCGGGGGCCCUUCGGGCCUCGCGCUAUAGGGUUGGUCGAUGGCUGAUUAGCUAGUUGGUGGGGUAAAGGCCUACCAAGGCGACGAUCAGUAGCUGGUCUGAGAGGACGACCAGCCACACUGGAACUGAGACACGGCCCAGACUCCUACGGGAGGCAGCAGUGGGGAAUUUUGGACAAUGGGCGAAAGCCUGAUCCAGCAAUGCCGCGUGUGUGAAGAAGGCCUUCGGGUUGUAAAGCACUUUUGUCCGGAAAGAAAUCCUUGACUCUAAUACAGUCGGGGGAUGACGGUACCGGAAGAAUAAGCACCGGCUAACUACGUG
RNAcentral lists this ribosomal RNA (486 nucleotides) under uncultured bacterium. Its description in RNAcentral is "partial 16S ribosomal RNA". It matches the Rfam family "Bacterial small subunit ribosomal RNA", at positions 30 to 507 of the family's 1533-position model. The record is from RNAcentral.